GCCUUCGUGGUGUAGUGGUCAGCACGCUCGACGCGUAUUCGAGAGGUCCGUGGUUCGAUUCCCGGCGAAGGCG
Non-coding RNA from Stegodyphus mimosarum, 73 nucleotides. NCBI's taxonomy places the organism in Eukaryota, Metazoa, Arthropoda, Arachnida, Araneae, Eresidae. The record is from Rfam.